AACCACGACUCUCCAACCACGACAUCACCCGGCGCCUCCCCCCCCCCCCCCCCGCGCUGCAUCCUCUCCCCACCACGUCCUCGCCAACCCCACCGGUUUUCCCUAGAUCAACUCUGCCGCCGUCGUGUCCCGGCACAGAUCAAGGUGUGAGCUGCUGGACACGAUGAGGGAGCGGGCAUCUUGGAGCGGACCGAGAUCCACUGCGUCUACGCGAGCACCUCAGGCUCAGGCGGCGCCAUAUGAUUCGUGCCGUCGUCAAGGGCCAUGGAGCUCGGGACGCCGCUCUCCCCCCUCCUACGCCAUCAAGCAUCACCAAGUCAACUCGAUGCAGGGGGAUGCUUCUUCUUCUUCUCGGGGCGCCGUGCCGCCAUGGAAGGUCUCUCUCUCUCUCGUUUCAAUUUGGUACGGUGCUAUAGUUGGUUCCCUUCCCUCCCUGAUGCGGUUCGUCACGCCUCUCUCUUUCGAUCUGUAGUUGAGCUGGUAGGUCUAGCAUCCAUAUUGGCUUUACAUACAUCAUGGACAACAUAUUUUUCCAGAUCUUUCCCCUCAAGAAAAGAAAAGAUGGCACUCACUUAGUUCCAAGUCGCACAAUUCAGAUAUGGUUGUUUCUGAAAGGGAUUAUUGUUGUAUAGGAAAUAAAAGCUUGGUUCUAUUUGUAACUAAAGGUCUUGAUUAUCUAUGGUUAACUUAAUUCAUACAUCCUCUAUAUCUGAUUAUAUUUUUAUGUUUCAGAUUUCAUAUGCCAUUAAAUCUGACCCAAGAUUAUGUAGUGUACAGCCUGUCAUCUCUUUGGAAUUGAUAAAGCUGCAUAAAUUUCAUGUGCAUGCACAGUGAACCCUAGCCAUGGUGCAUCCCACGAGCUGUUGCUGGCUGUACCUCGGAGCGGAGACAGCACUGCCCCCAACACGUUUGUCUGGCACCCAAUGAUAUCUAUCGCCUUGAGCUCCAUUUGUUUUCCCACUGUCUUUUCUCCAGUUUGACCAAAAAACUCCAGUCGAGAAGAUCUCUAUUAGGCAGCAAAUCUCAUGACAGGUGUUGUGUCAGUUGCAUUGGCCUACGAUAAGGUAAAGUAUUGUGUCUGAUAUAUUCCAUAUGUGCUUUGGGUGUAAUGCAUGAUCAAGUUUUCUAGCCUCGGUGUUUUAUCAUACUUAUUAAUAGGUAUAUGCUAAUGUAACACCCCAUUCAAAAUAGAACUCUGUCAUUAGGAAAAGAUAUACCAAUUAAAUGUGCUUCAGGAAUUAUGCAAUGAAAAAAUAAGCAUAAUAGCAUACCAAAUGUACCUUGCUAAGCAUAAAUGCUCUAUGUUAUAUUAGGAGGUAUACCCAUCCGUCUGGAGUCUGCUCUUAAUACUUUCUGCUCUUUUCCAUGUUGUAACAUUUAGAUCAGUCCACUUAUCAGAUUUUAAUUCCAUAUGCUUGGAUGCAUAUUUGAAUAAAUCCUCCAGUCAUUUUAGUUGUUGCACCAAUAAAUGAAAAAGUAUUAGCAUCACAAGCGGCAAAUAAGACAAAUCUUCUUAUGAAAAAAAUAUCUUCACAUGGUGUAGCACUGGGUAUGUUGACUGGUUUCAUCCUGCCUCCAAUUUCUUGCAUCUGAUAAGUGUCAUUUUUGUGUAGCAAAUCACAAUCUUCACCGCCUAUCGAAAUACUGAGUGAAUGUUAGUUAUGAUUAGCGGUAUUAAUAACAACGCCCAUAAGGAUUUUCAGUUAGGAAACCGAACAUUCAACAAUGCGCGUGUGAUGUAGCUAGGAGACCACCGCAUCACCUGUAUCGGAUUGAGUUUGUUCUCCAGUCCUAAGGACGGCUGUAGAUUCCCCCUCUAUGUUGCUCAUACCGGGCAUUUUCCCUCUCCCUCUUAAGUGCUUGUUUUUCUUUUGUAAAAUAUAAAUGUGAAUUAGGUACAAUACACGAUAUGAGCAACAGUUGUUUUUCUUCUGUACGAUAUAUGUGUAAAUUAGAUGGACAAACCAGGCAAUAUGGCCUAGGGUGUCUUAGAUGGAGUGCUCUUUCCACUUAGAAUAGCAGAUGUAGCUUUCUUAUGAUCCCUUGCCUCACAUUUACUUUUUAAUACAUCAUCCCUGUUUAGUGCAUACAUCCCUUUCUCCUUGUCUCCUCAAUUCCUAUGGAUCUGCCUUUUGACCUGCGAGAAAAAAAUCUUCAGGGUCUACAUGGUCCAGGUAGGUAAGAGUUGGGGAUAUUUAUAUCUACCUGAAUUAUCCUUGUUUGUUAGGUCCUGAAAUGUAGUCCGUCCCCACUACGCUAAGAGGAUGUCGUAGUGUCUCCUGAGUGAAUCUAUUUGUGAAACUCUUUUUCAGUGUUGUUAUCAAUUUGUGAGAAAUACAAUGAACAAUUCCACGUCAGCAACUCAGUUUGUCAUGUGGUCAGGAAAUAAAUAUCAUCAUUAUUUCAGUGAAUCUAGUUUUGCAAGAACCCUUCUCUGCUCCUCUUUGAGGUCCAGAGGUGGAAAGUGCAUCACUUUGUUUGUCGAAUCCGAAAUGGCUAGUGGAGGUGCCAGGGCUAUUUUGAAUGGUAGAAACAUCACUACCGGCUGAAAUAUAUGCCGUCAUUUCUGUCUCGUUCGCCCCAUUGUUGCAGUACAUAAACCCCUUGGUAAGAAACAACUAACCAGGAAUCCUAAUGUGCAAUUUUUACUUAAUUUCUUCAAUAAAACAUUAAGAUCAUGGUGCCCUGUAGGUAGCAAAAGAAACAACUAACAAGGAAUCCUAAUACCCAGUGUCCUGUAGGUACAUGGGCGUAUUUACAUGGUGUCCUGUAGAUACAUGGAUGUUGUUACAUGGUGUUCUGCAGUGUAACGGUGAUGAUUUCCUUUAUUUUGUUCUGAUCAUAAGAUGUACAAAUUGAAAUGAUGUAACCUGUGCAGGGGCGGGGCUGGAAGUAUCAUGAUGGCGACCUAUGUCGUCGAGAUGGUUCGGCCACCAGGGCGAGAACGAUGUGGACACCGGAUCUAGGUCAGCACGCCGGGAUGGCCCGAGGUGUUCUCGAGACGGCGGCCAGGGCGAGGACGGCAUGGACAGCGGAUUUGGGCAAGUCGCCAGGGCGGGCCGAGGUUUCCCCAAGAUGGCACGGCCACGGGGGCGAGGACGGCGCGGACACCAGGGGCCAGGACGGUCGCCAGGCGGGCCGAGGUUUCCUCAAGACAGCACAGCCACCGGGGCGAGGACGGUGGGGCAAGGGCCGGUUCGUGGUCUGGUGGCGGCGUCGAUCACGGACGUAUUGUUUUUUGAGGAGGCGGAUGCAUUGUUCAAUUCCUUGUGGAGGUAGCAUCGUGGGGUUGUCUAGCUCCUGUGCGGGGGCAGUCUGCCGACAGAACAUUUUUUCUUAACCGUUGAUCUAAUUUGCAGAUGUUUGAUGUAAUGUGUGUGCUUGGAUGUUAUUAAGUGGGUUUGAUCGAACGUGGGUGGUUAUCCUGUGUGUACUUUGUGGGGUGGCUGUAGGAGAGUUCAUGUUUGCUUUUUUAAUAGUAGUAUAGAUAUAGAUAUAGAAGUAUAGAUGUGUAUCAGCAAGUACGUGACUUGUUUGUGGGACUAUGCAUUGUAUGAUGACUGUCCUAAAAGGUCCUUAGUCAAAA
Molecule: long non-coding RNA, 3586 nt
Organism: Triticum aestivum (bread wheat)
Lineage: Eukaryota; Viridiplantae; Streptophyta; Magnoliopsida; Poales; Poaceae
Exons: 3
Source: RefSeq, a predicted model, not a curated record